This 899-nucleotide ribosomal RNA is filed under the name uncultured bacterium. RNAcentral describes it as "bacterial SSU rRNA". It matches the Rfam family "Bacterial small subunit ribosomal RNA", at positions 8 to 916 of the family's 1533-position model. The record is from RNAcentral.
AGAGUUUGAUCAUGGCUCAGGACGAACGCUGGCGGCGUGCUUAACACAUGCAAGUCAAGGGGGCCCAGCAAUGGGCAACCGGCGAACGGGUGCGUAACACGUGAGCAACCUACCGAACUGUGGGGGAUAGCCGGCCUAACGGCCGAGUAAUACCGCAUACGCUCUCAGUGAGGCAUUUCAUUGAGAGGAAACCUACGGGACAGAUCGAGGGGCUCGCGGCCUAUCAGCUAGUUGGCGAGGUAACGGCUCACCAAGGCAACGACGGGUAGCUGGUCUGAGAGGAUGGCCAGCCACAUUGGGACUGAGAUACGGCCCAGACUCCUACGGGAGGCAGCAGUGGGGAAUCUUGCGCAAUGGCCUAACGGCUGACGCAGCGACGCCGCGUGUGGGAUGAAGCUCCUCGGAGUGUAAACCACUGUUGCCCGGGACGAAUAGCUCGAUUAAUCGAGCCUGACGGUACCGGGUGAGGAAGCACCGGCUAACUCCGUGCCAGCAGCCGCGGUAAUACGGGGGGUGCGAGCGUUGUCCGGAAUCACUGGGCGUAAAGGGCGCGUAGGUGGUUUGAUAAGGGUGUGGUGAAAGUCCGGGGCUCAACCCCGGAUCUGCCGUGCCGACUGUCAAACUCGAGGACUGUAGAGGCAGACGGAAUUCCGGGUGUAGCGGUGGAAUGCGUAGAGAUCCGGAGGAAGACCGGUGGCGAAGGCGGUCUGCUGGGCAGUUUCUGACACUGAGGCGCGACAGCGUGGGGAGCAAACAGGAUUAGAUACCCUGGUAGUCCACGCCGUAAACGAUGGGUACUAGGUGCCUGGGGGAGCGACCCUCUGGGUGCCGGCGCUAACGCAGGAAGUACCCCGCCUGGGGAGUACGACCGCAAGGUUGAAACUCAAAGGAAUUGACGG